Molecule: long non-coding RNA, 600 nt
Filed under: Malus domestica (apple)
Lineage: Eukaryota; Viridiplantae; Streptophyta; Magnoliopsida; Rosales; Rosaceae
Description: long non-coding RNA (MDOM_LNC005577)
Source: RNAcentral
CACGAGAUUCAAGCCUAAGACCUCUCACUUCCAAGUGAAGAGGAAUACCAUUAGACCGUAGUACUGAGUAGCAAGAUUUUAUUGAAUAUACAUAUAUUUAUUGUCAGAAAUCUCUCACAUACGUUUGAAUGACAUUUUAGCAAGUGUGGUGUUAUCUACACAUCUUUUUUUUACCUUUCACGCACCUCUCGAUUGCCGGCCAUUGGGUUGAAUGAAUUAAAGAUCAAAGGACAUUAAUUAACUAAGAGUGUGUGGAAGAUAAAAAAAAAAAAGUGUGGAUGGCACCACCCUUUAAGCAAUCAUCUUAAACUGUUACUAAUGAAUAAAAGUAUAGUUCCAAUAACCAUUUGGCACAACAAUAUUUAACUUUCACUUUAUUGGAGAGGAGAUUUUAAGUUCAAUUACAUGGACAAUGAUGAGUCAAUAUUAUAUUAUAUAUUUUACCCUAUUCUUGGUAUAAUUUGGUAAUUAUUUUGGUAGAAUUUUUGUUAUGCCCACCCUCGUUUUAUUUAAAAAUAGUUUUUGGGUCUUAAUUGGGGAGCCCAAAAGGCCCGCCCCCUGAUAUCUGUCCUCGGUUUCCUAUCUCUCUCUCCUCCCUUU